GAGACACGGUCCAGACUCCUACGGGAGGCAGCAGUGGGGAAUAUUGCACAAUGGGCGCAAGCCUGAUGCAGCCAUGCCGCGUGUAUGAAGAAGGCCUUCGGGUUGUAAAGUACUUUCAGCGGGGAGGUAAUGGCGCCCGUCGGCGCGGCGUUGCUGGGACUGCGCGUCGGCGACACCAUUCACUGGGAACUGCCGGGCGGCGCCUCCACCCAUCUCGAAGUGCUGGAACUCGAAUAUCAGCCUGAAGCCGCG
RNAcentral lists this ribosomal RNA (252 nucleotides) under Salmonella enterica subsp. enterica serovar Anatum. Its description in RNAcentral is "partial 16S ribosomal RNA". It matches the Rfam family "Bacterial small subunit ribosomal RNA", at positions 321 to 519 of the family's 1533-position model. The record is from RNAcentral. Lineage: Bacteria; Pseudomonadati; Pseudomonadota; Gammaproteobacteria; Enterobacterales; Enterobacteriaceae.